AAGCAUAUGGUACUUACAGAGUGUCAUCCGUUACCCCGUAGUCCUUUUUCAUUCCGAUGUUAUUGAUUUCCAUUCACAAAUCUUUAAAUCAUAAAUGACUUCUUUGAAAGUUGUAACUUCCGGUGAUGUCGUUUCGGUCAACUUGUACAAUGUACGAAGCUUGUCGUGUUUUUUCUUCUCCCCGUUCUAAUUCGAUAUAAGAUAUAUCAUGUAUAAAAUAUAUCAUAUGUAUAUAUAUGAAGUCUUAUACACUGGGUUUCCACUGGUCGAUUGUAUAACUUUUUACUGAUCGUCUUUUGGUUACGUGUUGACCUGGGGACGAGUCAGUCAGUGUACGACCUGACGUUCACGCAAGUGAUCAAAGCGCUUUUUUUUCAAUGUUCCUUUCUGGGCGCGAAGUCAGGGAAAUAAUCGCAAGGAUGGAGAACAUUCAACAGAAUCAGUAUGCAAUCAAGCAUGGAAUGGAUUCCAGAUAGGAAUAUAGGAUUCACCUUACACUCAGAAACUGGGGGAUAGGCCUAGUUGUUCAAAAUACACGGCGUUGCUGCAUGGACUUGAAGAGAUAGUUAUGAAUUUAGAAUAUCAUCAAGUGACUUUUAAUAAGGCACUGUUUUCAGUGGAUGAACCGACAUCAUGCAGUGUGACAGGAAAACGCCCGUGAGACCAAAGAUGGCUUAGAUAAAAGGGAAGACGAUGCAGAAGCCUCUGUACCAGAGAAAAAUCCAGAGAUGGCCCUCAAAGAAGUUAGAAACAAGAUGAGAGACCGUCUCAAGUUGUUUAGGUCUGGAGCAGUGACCUUCCCCCACCCACGAGUCGAAGAAAUAGAUCUUUGAACCAGGUUACCCGUGACAUCAAGAUAAAUAAAAUUCAACU
Molecule: long non-coding RNA, 873 nt
Organism: Ostrea edulis (European flat oyster)
Lineage: Eukaryota; Metazoa; Mollusca; Bivalvia; Ostreida; Ostreidae
Exons: 3
Source: RefSeq, a predicted model, not a curated record